RNAcentral lists this long non-coding RNA (1352 nucleotides) under Homo sapiens (human). RNAcentral's name for it is "long intergenic non-protein coding RNA 2241". Lineage: Eukaryota; Metazoa; Chordata; Mammalia; Primates; Hominidae. The record is from RNAcentral.
GUACAAGCUCUCGCCUGCCGCCAUGUAAACGUUCUUUGCUCCUGCUUCGUCUUCUGCCGUGAUUGUGAGGCCUCCCCAGCCAUGUGGAACUACUCAUCACUCACUGCAGAUGUUACUUUAAGACAUUCUGGAGCAGCGUCAUGUGCAGGUGCGUAGUGCCUCCGCCCAUCUCUCUCUUGCUCCUGGUCUCAUCGUGACGGGCCUGGUCCUGCCUCACUUUAUGCCACGACUAAGAGCUCCCUGAGGCCUCUCCAGAAGCAGAUAUCACUAUGCUUCCUACACAGCCUGCAGAACCGAACAAUAAGGAAGUGAGUGCUUUUGUAAUUCCUGAACAACUGUGUCUUACACUUACUAAGGGAUUCAUGGGCAAUAUGACUGAAUAGGAACAGCUCCAGUCUGAAGCUCCCAGUGAGACCAACAUAGAAGUUCUCUUGCCUGCCACCAUGUAAGAUAUGCUUUUACUCUUCCGCCUUCCACCGUGACUGUGAGGCCUCCCCAGCCAUGUGAAACUGCCUUUGAGCUUAUACUGAAUUAUACCACCAGCUUUCCUAGGUCUUGAAGCUUACAGACAGCAGAUCUUGGGACUUCUCAGGCACCAUAAUCAAUCAUAGAUAAAUGAUCCAAUGAUUCGGAACUUGAAAAGUGGUAGCUUUAUGAAUUCUCCUUAAGAAGAAACCUGUGCCCUGAUCUUGCCUACUCACCCAAAGGCACUGUGAGAUAGCAUCAAAGGAACAGCUAGUAAGAGACACAGAGCCAGAAAUCAGGGAAGUAAAAUACACUUGACAUCUACGUUCGGAAAGAAAUUUUAGGAGGCAGAAGCAAAUGGAUCAGAAGCUGCUUAUAUUUUUGCAAGAUUACCAAAGAAACCAUUGGUGGAGAAAGUUCUGUGACCAACUUGUCUGAGUCUAGUAAGAUUGAACGCUCACACACAAGUUUCAUGAAGUGGGUUUGAUACUUACAGAUAAGCAGCAAGGACCAACAGAAGCUGAUGAUCUAUGGUGAACUUUUUCCCAAGGCUCCGGAAAGCUGCCUAAAGUAGAUGGAGUCUUCUCUGUGUGUGCCCCACUGGUCCUGCAGUUGAAGGAUCCGGUAAAGCAGCCUGCCCUUGGUUUUAUACUCCAGAGGAACGUGAUUCGCUGGACUAAAGCAUUGAAGUGCAUCCUGUUUCCGGGGGGCACUGGAACAGAGCCUGGUCUGUUCUAGCCAGUCCCUUUCUAUCUCAGGAUAACAUUCUACAGUUAUUCUUGAGAACUAUAAUCAAAUAAGCAGGGAGAACUGGGUAAGUCCAAGGCUUAUCUAUACAAGCCUUUAAAUAUUCAAGACCAAAAAAAAAAAAAAAAAAAAAAAAAAAA